Long non-coding RNA from Prionailurus viverrinus (fishing cat), 980 nucleotides. RefSeq lists it as uncharacterized. The record is from RefSeq and is a predicted model, not a curated record. The transcript is spliced from 3 exons. NCBI's taxonomy places the organism in Eukaryota, Metazoa, Chordata, Mammalia, Carnivora, Felidae.
CAGGGUCGUCUGUGCAGGCCCCUGGGGAGCAGCGGCACCGGGUGCGUGGAGACUCAUCGGCUCCAUGGCUGGUCCUUCCAGAACACACGGCCCUCUCAGCAGACAGGACCCUGAGCAAGACCGGUCCAUUAGGAAGACACUGAGGGCUAUAGAGCAGGAGCCUUGAAUGAUCCGCACCUUCCUAUCAGUCUUCCCUACCUCACGCGGCAGACCUGGGCCUGCACGGAGCCCCAGCCCAGCCCCAGCCGUUACCUGCUUCGUACAGUGAGCACUUCACACAGAGUCUGGUCCCAGGAAGUAUCCAGUGAACGCGGACUGAACACCGAGUGAGUGGUGAGCCGUCAGGAGGAGCAGAGGCCGUGAACCUCAUGCAGCUUUUUGACCUUGAAUAACUUGAAGUGGCUUCCUGGGUGUGCUUUGUCUCCAUCUUCUCCACAUCCACCUCCUGGUUGAAUGCCUGCUCCUUUCUAUUGGUUGUCACCUUGGACUGGAAGUCUGUCCUCUCCUACCACAGUGCAGUUGAGCAAAAGAGGUAACUGAGCCCAGUGUUUGCCAAAUUCCUAUCACGUGGUAACAGGUGGCCCGAAAAACAUUACUUUUAUGAAUGCGUUUGGGAAAACAGUGCCUUAGGUCCUUCUCUUGGAGAUUCAAAAUGCUCAGUCCCGUUUCUAAGGCUCUAAAAUGCCCUGUCCACCAGGUUAACCUGUGUAAUGAAAGGUUCUCCAAAUUAGUUCACCGCGAAGCCCUUCCAUUGUCAGGAAUGAAAGACAUCACUGAGUGAGUAGCACCGUGGACCUGGGCUUGCGCAGAACUAGGCUAGAAUCUGGGGUCUGUGUUCCACCAGCGACAGCCUCACCUCCUCGUGUCUUUCCUUAUGAAACAGGAUCUCAGCAGGGGACAUAAAAAGUAAGAGAAAACAUGAGAUCAUUUUGCUCGGCACCUGGUGUGUAUAAACUCAAAAAUGCCAUAUGUUUGGGGCG